CCCUUAGAUGUCCUGGGCCGCACGCGCGUUACACUGAUGCAUUCAACGAGCUUAUAACCUUGGCCGAGAGGCCUGGGCAAUCUUGUUAACGUGCAUCGUGAUAGGGAUAGAUUAUUGAAAUUAUUAAUCUUGAACGAGGAAUUCCUAGUAAACGCAGAUCAUCAAUCUGCAUUGAUUACGUCCCUGCCCUUUGUACACACCGCCCGUCGCACCUACCGAUUGGAUGGUCCGGUGAAGCCUCGGGACGGCGGCUUGGUUGCUUGCGUCCGACUGCUGAAACUUGAUUAAACCAUAUCAUUUAGAGGAAGGUGAAGUCGUAACA
Molecule: ribosomal RNA, 322 nt
Filed under: uncultured eukaryote
Lineage: Eukaryota
Description: partial 18S ribosomal RNA
Rfam family: Eukaryotic small subunit ribosomal RNA
Source: RNAcentral